Molecule: long non-coding RNA, 432 nt
Organism: Choloepus didactylus (southern two-toed sloth)
Lineage: Eukaryota; Metazoa; Chordata; Mammalia; Pilosa; Megalonychidae
Exons: 3
Source: RefSeq, a predicted model, not a curated record
UCCCCACAACGUGGCAUUUCCGCUUUUGAGGUGAAUAUGCUAAGCUAAGUGGUUUCUUGACUCUUCCUCACUGUAGUGACAUGGUCUCUGAUUCCUGGGGGAACCAGAAGAAGCAUCCCCAAGCGCCAUGGCCAUGGCCACAGCAACUCUGCAGCAGGGCCUGCAACACCAGCAGCCACAAAAGCAACAUCUAUUCAAUGCUUAAUGAAUAACUAGAUGAGCUCAACGCAAUGAUUUCAACUCCUGAGAUGGCUGAGAUCUGAAUCCAGAUCUCUGCAGGCUUCAACCUAGGAUUUGCUUAAUCUUCUGAAUGAAAAUUUGACUCCUCAUGCAAACAUUUGACUCUAUAUUCUUUAUGCAAAGACGGGAAAACUCUUUACAGAGUCAGGUCAAGAAAAGUAAUCUUCAGAAGGAAGAUUUAAGAGACACGAC